Molecule: ribosomal RNA, 4378 nt
Filed under: Amborella trichopoda
Lineage: Eukaryota; Viridiplantae; Streptophyta; Magnoliopsida; Amborellales; Amborellaceae
Description: Bacterial large subunit ribosomal RNA
Rfam family: Bacterial large subunit ribosomal RNA
Source: Rfam by way of RNAcentral
AUUCAAUGUACUCAAUGCAUUCGAUGGAUGCCCGAGCAUUGAGAAGGAAGGACCCUUGAAGAGGCAAAAGGCCAUGAGGAGAUACCAUCUGUGAUCCAUGGAUCUCCGAUCGGGAAGCCGUAUCCAAGCUCCGUGGCUAGUCUACACUCUUUGGACUUUGAAAACUUAACGAACUGAAACAUCUGAGUAGUUAAUGGAAGGGAAAUCAACCGAGAUCCCUUUAGUAGCGGCCAGCGAGAGCAGAUUGGGGCUUUGAAGAAAAAGAAACACAAAGCUUACCACGAAGCUUCGCUCUAGCGAAGCAAAGCAAUUCAAUCUUCUUUCAUCCGCGAAGCGGAAUGAAGCAAAGGUGCGGAGCCACUUAGCCUCGUUCCUCUCGCUUCGCGCAUUGCUCGCUCAGUGCUUAUGCACUUCGCUUCCUUUUCUAUUAGGCUCGUUUCGUAGAACUAUACUCAUUUAAAUGUAACUCGUUCUCGAUCGGCCUAACAAACUUGUUUUUGUACGCUCCUAUUAAGCUCGCGUAACUCGUUCUCGUUGGUUUCAUUCGAUUUGUUGUGGAUUGGAUGAUGGAAAAAAUGUUGGUUCGAGAAUUGUGAAAUGGUUGGAAGAUCUAACCAAAGAUGGUGAUAGCCUUGUAGAUUCGUUCCCAUGGUUUGAUCCUUCCCAGUAAAACACGGCAUGUUCAAAUUCUGAUUGUUUUUACGAGAGAAAGGGGGACCACCCUCUAAGCUUAAGUCUUCCUCAAUGACCGAUAGCGUACAAGUACCAUGAGGGAAAGGUGAAAAGAACCCUAUUUAGGGAGUGCAAUAGAGAACCUGAGAUCCGAUGCAAACAAUCAGUCGAAAGGAGCAGAGCUUAGAGCCAAACGGCGGGCGCACUCACUCUAACGGCAUACCUUUCGCAUGAUGGGUCAGCGAGGAAAUGGGAACAGCGGCUUAAGCCAUUAGGUGUAAGCGCUUUCUAGAGGUUGAAUCUUCUAGUUGUUUCUAUUUGACACGAAAUCGAUCUAUCUGGCCAUGAGCUAGUUGAAGAGAGCUCUAACAGGCCUUAGAGGACCGAACCCACGUAUGUGGCAAAAUACGAGGAUGACCUAUGGCUAGGGGUGAAAGGCCAACCAAGAUCGGAUAUAGCUUGUUUUCUACGAAAUCUAUUUCAGUAGAGCGUAUGAUGUCGAUGGCCCAAGGUAGAGCACUCAAUGGGCUAGGGUGGCCCCCAAAAAGCUUGACCAACCUAGGGAAGCUCUGAAGACAGGCUUAGAUCAUUUGUACAGACAGACUCUUUGGGUGCUAAGAUCCGAAGUCGAGAGGGAAACAGCCCAGAUCGUACGCUAAGGUCCCUAAGCAAUCACUUAGUGGAAAAGGAAGGGAUCGAGCGAUGACAAUCAGGAGGUGGGCUUGGAAGCAGCCAUCCUUUAAAGAAAGCGAAAUAUCUCACUGGUCUAGCUCCAUGGCACAAAAAAUGUAUCAGGGCUCAAGUGAGUCACCGAAGCGACGAGACCUUGAAAGCAUUUUCAAGCGUCAGUAGCGGGAUGUUCUUUCAAUCGGGGAAGGUUUUGGUGACAACACUUGGAGAUAUCAAAAGUGAGAAUGCUGACAUGAGUAACGAGAAAUUCUAUGAAAAACACGAGCGCUUGUCAGUUCAAGGGUUUCUACGUUCAGUCAAUCUACGCAGAGUGAAUCGAUCCCUAAGGAAGCCCUGAAAGGGCUGCCUUCCGAUGGGUACACGAGAGUGAUGAAGUUGCUUUGAUUGCUGAACCAUGCCUGUCUGUUGGAACGAAUUGGAUGAUCGGGCCAUGGGCUGCCCCCUCUUCCCCUCGCUCUCCAUUCCUUAAGAUGAACAUUGAGUCAGAAAAGCCUUCUUGACUCGGAUGUGCUUGGACCCCUAAGCUACUGACGCUUCAAAAGCUGAAACUCUCGUCGUAGUUUGACUAACUAAGAACAAAGAAGUCAACUGUUCAGGUAGUGGCAUGGCAAGCAAGGAGCAAAGCCAGUGGUAGCAAUGUCAAAUCACUCGUUGUUGAGGGUGGGUUUGCUUUUAGAAAAAGCGAUUGUUGAAGAAACGAAGAAAACUACACCAAGCAACCAAGCAAUGGGAGAGUGCGCUAGCACAUCCGUUUUCUUGCUGCGCGAAAGCCGUUGCAUGGUAGCGCAUACGUUUUCUUGCUGGGAAAAAAACAAACCAACAAUUGCAAGCAAGAAAAUGGAUUCGUGGCGCGUUAGCGCCCUUGCUUCUUGCUUUCGAGCCUACGUUUUCUGGCAGUUUACUCUUGCAAAGCCCUCGCUCGUUAGAGUGAGUGCUUUGAUGUUGCUUCGCACUCGGUCCUAGCUUUUGAGCAAAAGCAAAAAGGGCUCUUGACUACUUGGGCUUUUACAAGACUUUGCUAACCUAACAACUAAACUCACGCAGCAAAAAGGGCUCUUUAGUACGUACUUGGUUUGGUUGGGCAUUGACGUUGCGUUAACGACUGAACUCGCUGAGGCUUUGCUCGUUGCAUCAAAGCAGCACUCUAUUGGGCAGCAGCAAAAAUCCCUCAAGAGAGCUUUGGCAAGAGUUAGCUAACGACUGAACUCACUGAGGCUCGUUGGCUACAAAGCAAAUUGCUUAUGAGGGCUGUGCAAAAAGCAAAGCUCUUGUUUGAGAGUGCCCAGCAAAGCACUCAUAAGCGAUUUGCCUUUUGACAGCAAAACUCCCUGCCAAUAGUUUGACCUUGCUACGUGGAGUAGACUGAAUGAGCUAGACAGACACUUUGAGUUAUCUAAAGGUGAAGACGGGCGAAGACUCGGCCCAACGGGCGCUCUUUCCCAUAGGUGAGCUCCUGCUCAGCGCACCUGCUAACACCUUUACAAGCACUUUCUAGUGUGAACCCUUCGGUCGCCUUUCUCAUUUUAGUGCUCUCCUUUUGAAUCUUCAAUAGGGGCCUUUAGUCUUAGAAUAGGGGUGGGGAGAGAGCAGAGCGUACUGCCCUGCCAUAGUCACGAGUAUGUUGUCAUAAUCAUAAAGGCUUUCAACUUUUAAGAAAGAAAUUAGAAUUGAGAGGGCGAUCCUCCCGGUGAACUGACCAUACCCCAAACCGACACAAGUGAACAAGUUGAGUAUACUAGGGCGUUUGAGAGAACCAUGUCAAAGGAACUCGAAAAAAUGACCCCGUAACUUCGAGAUAAGGGGUGCUCUCCUUGCUUUUGAUUAGGAAAGCAGCACAAACCAGGGGGUAGCGACGGUUUAAUAAAAACACAGGACUCUGCUAAGUGGUAACACAAUGUAUAGAGUCUGACACCUGCCUGGUGCUAGAAGGUCGGAAGGAGAAGUCUUAUAAGCUUUGAAUGGAAGCCCCGAUCAACGGCGACAGUAACUCUAACUGUCCUAAGGUAGCGAAAUUCCUUGUCGCAUAAGUAACGACCUGCAAGAAUGGUGUAACGACUACCCCGCAGUCUCCGACAUGGACCCGGUGAAAUUGAAUUCUCCGUGAAGAUGUGGAGUACCAACGGCUAGACGGUAAGACCCCAUGCACCUUGACUAUAGCUUCAUAGUGACAACCUUGAUCGAAUGUGAAGGAUAGGUGGGAGGUGGUGACACAAAUCUCCCAAUCCUGAAAGACCACUCUUUCGUCUAAGGAUACCUAACCGCCACACUGAUCAUUUGGGGGUGGGGGGGCACUGUGAGGUGGGUAGUUUAUCUGGGGCGGAUGCCUCCUAAAGAGUAACGGAGGUGUGUGAAGGUGGGCUCAAGCUAAGAUUAUGCUCGUGAGUGUAAUGGUAUAAGCCUGCCUGACUAUGAGAUCGACUGAUCGAACAGAGAUGAAAGCUAGCCAUAGUGAUGCAGGACUCCCGUGUGGAAGGGCUCUCGCUCAACAGAUCAAAGGUACAUCGGGGAUAACAGGCUGAUGACUCCCAAGAGCUCUUAUCGACGGAGUCAUUUGGCACCUCGAUUUCGACUCAUCACAUCCUGGGGUUGAAGAAGGUCCUAAGAGUUUGGUUGUUCGUCAAUUAAAGUGGUACGUGAGUUGGGUUUAGAUCAUCGUGAGACAGUUCGAUUCCUAUAUACCAUUGGUGUUAAAGGGAGAACUGCGAGGAGACAACCCUAGUACAAGAGGACUGGGUUGGGCCAACCUAUGGCGUACCGGUUGUUAUGCCAAUAGCAGUGUCGGGCAGCUAAGUUGGUAUGGAAGAACUACUGCGCUGCAUCUGAGCUGAGUUAUAGACACUCUCUCAAAGCAAUGAGAGGAGUUUACAUUAGUUUAGUCACUCGUUGUCUUAAACGUUGGAAAUCCUUCUCUAUACAAGUUCUCGUACGAUGGUUUUUAAGAGAACUUCGUUAGGCGGAGAUGUGAGCACUUCGAGGUGUGAAGCGAUCUCAUACUAAACGAAACUACUUUCUCUUU